UCCCCCCAAUUCAUCCUUGCCGUUUUAUUUGCCCUCUCUCUCCCUAUCCUCCCUCUCUAUUUGCCUCUUUUGCCCGUUUGCUUUUUGUUUGCUCGUGUGUUAGAUUGCUCGUUUGUCGCGAUGGCUCAAGAUACUACUAAAUUGUGUGACUUCACCAAUACCAAUAAUAAUGAUUUCCUUAGCACUCCGAUUGCUCCUCUUAACGAUGUUGAAUCUUGUGAAAUUAAUACUGCUUUGUUGAAUCUUGUUAUGAAAGAUCAAUCUGCCGGCCUUCCUAGUGAAGAUGCUGCUACUCAUCUGAAUAGCUUCGUUGAUUUAUGUGAUAUGCAAAAGAGAAAAGAUGUCAAUAAUGAUGUCGUUAAAUUGAAGCUAUUUCCUUUUUCGCUUAGAGAUCAUGCUAAAGCUUGGUUUUCGUCUUUGCCUAAGAAUAGUAUUGAUUCAUGGAACAAGUGCAAAGAUGCUUUUAUCUCUAAAUAUUUUCCUCCCGCUAAGAUCAUCUCUCUUAGAAACGAUAUUAUGAACUUUAAACAACUUGAUCAUGAACAUGUUGCACAAGCUUGGGAGAGAAUGAAAUUAAUGAUACGUUGCCCUACUCAUGGUUUGAAUUUGUGGAUGAUUAUACAAAAAAUUUAUGCCAGAUUGAAUUUUGCUUCUAGAAAUCUUUUAGAUUCGGCCGCGGGAGGCACUUUUAUGGAAAUCACUUUAGGAGAUGCUACUAAACUCCUAGAUAAUAUUAUGGUUAAGUAUUCUCAAUGGCAUACUGAAAAAUCUUCUAAUAAAAAAGUGCAUGCGAUAGAAGAAAUUAAUGUGUUGAGUGGAAAGAUGGAU
RNAcentral lists this ribosomal RNA (828 nucleotides) under Triticum aestivum (bread wheat). RNAcentral's name for it is "partial small subunit ribosomal RNA". Lineage: Eukaryota; Viridiplantae; Streptophyta; Magnoliopsida; Poales; Poaceae. The record is from RNAcentral.